Molecule: ribosomal RNA, 1505 nt
Filed under: metagenome
Description: bacterial SSU rRNA
Rfam family: Bacterial small subunit ribosomal RNA
Source: RNAcentral
AGAGUUUGAUCCUGGCUCAGGACGAACGCUGGCGGCGUGCCUAAUACAUGCAAGUAGAACGCUGAAGAGAGGAGCUUGCUCUUCUUGGAUGAGUUGCGAACGGGUGAGUAACGCGUAGGUAACCUGCCUUGUAGCGGGGGAUAACUAUUGGAAACGAUAGCUAAUACCGCAUAACAAUGGAUGACCCAUGUCAUUUAUUUGAAAGGGGCAAAUGCUCCACUACAAGAUGGACCUGCGUUGUAUUAGCUAGUAGGUGAGGUAACGGCUCACCUAGGCGACGAUACAUAGCCGACCUGAGAGGGUGAUCGGCCACACUGGGACUGAGACACGGCCCAGACUCCUACGGGAGGCAGCAGUAGGGAAUCUUCGGCAAUGGGGGCAACCCUGACCGAGCAACGCCGCGUGAGUGAAGAAGGUUUUCGGAUCGUAAAGCUCUGUUGUAAGUCAAGAACGAGUGUGAGAGUGGAAAGUUCACACUGUGACGGUAGCUUACCAGAAAGGGACGGCUAACUACGUGCCAGCAGCCGCGGUAAUACGUAGGUCCCGAGCGUUGUCCGGAUUUAUUGGGCGUAAAGCGAGCGCAGGCGGUUUGAUAAGUCUGAAGUUAAAGGCUGUGGCUCAACCAUAGUUCGCUUUGGAAACUGUCAAACUUGAGUGCAGAAGGGGAGAGUGGAAUUCCAUGUGUAGCGGUGAAAUGCGUAGAUAUAUGGAGGAACACCGGUGGCGAAAGCGGCUCUCUGGUCUGUAACUGACGCUGAGGCUCGAAAGCGUGGGGAGCGAACAGGAUUAGAUACCCUGGUAGUCCACGCCGUAAACGAUGAGUGCUAGGUGUUGGAUCCUUUCCGGGAUUCAGUGCCGCAGCUAACGCAUUAAGCACUCCGCCUGGGAGUACGACCGCAAGGUUGAAACUCAAAGGAAUUGACGGGGGCCCGCACAAGCGGUGGAGCAUGUGGUUUAAUUCGAAGCAACGCGAAGAACCUUACCAGGUCUUGACAUCCCGAUGCUAUUUCUAGAGAUAGAAAGUUACUUCGGUACAUCGGUGACAGGUGGUGCAUGGUUGUCGUCAGCUCGUGUCGUGAGAUGUUGGGUUAAGUCCCGCAACGAGCGCAACCCCUAUUGUUAGUUGCCAUCAUUCAGUUGGGCACUCUAGCGAGACUGCCGGUAAUAAACCGGAGGAAGGUGGGGAUGACGUCAAAUCAUCAUGCCCCUUAUGACCUGGGCUACACACGUGCUACAAUGGUUGGUACAACGAGUUGCGAGUCGGUGACGGUAAGCUAAUCUCUUAAAGCCAAUCUCAGUUCGGAUUGUAGGCUGCAACUCGCCUACAUGAAGUCGGAAUCGCUAGUAAUCGCGGAUCAGCACGCCGCGGUGAAUACGUUCCCGGGCCUUGUACACACCGCCCGUCACACCACGAGAGUUUGUAACACCCGAAGUCGGUGAGGUAACCUUUUGGAGCCAGCCGCCUAAGGUGGGAUAGAUGAUUGGGGUGAAGUCGUAACAAGGUA